GAUGAACGCUGGCGGCGUGCCUAAUACAUGCAAGUCGAGCGAACAGAUAAGGAGCUUGCUCCUUUGAAGUUAGCGGCGGACGGGUGAGUAACACGUGGGUAACCUACCUAUAAGACUGGGAUAACUUCGGGAAACCGGAGCUAAUACCGGAUAACAUUUAGAACCGCAUGGUCCUAAAGUGAAAGAUGGUUUUGCUAUCACUUAUAGAUGGACCCGCGCCGUAUUAGCUAGUUGGUAAGGUAACGGCUUACCAAGGCGACGAUACGUAGCCGACCUGAGAGGGUGAUCGGCCACACUGGAACUGAGACACGGUCCAGACUCCUACGGGAGGCAGCAGUAGGGAAUCUUCCGCAAUGGGCGAAAGCCUGACGGAGCAACGCCGCGUGAGUGAUGAAGGGUUUCGGCUCGUAAAACUCUGUUAUUAGGGAAGAACAAAUGUGUAAGUAACUGUGCACAUCUUGACGGUACCUAAUCAGAAAGCCACGGCUAACUACGUGCCAGCAGCCGCGGUAAUACGUAGGCGGCAAGCGUUAUCCGGAAUUAUUGGGCGUAAAGCGCGCGUAGGCGGUUUCUUAAGCCUGAUGUGAAAGCCCACGGCUCAACCGUGGAGGGUCAUUGGAAACUGGGAAACUUGAGUGCAGAAGAGGAAAGUGGAAUUCCAUGUGUAGCGGUGAAAUGCGCAGAGAUAUGGAGGAACACCAGUGGCGAAGGCGACUUUCUGGUCUGUAACUGACGCUGAUGUGCGAAAGCGUGGGGAUCAAACAGGAUUAGAUACCCUGGUAGUCCACGCCGUAAACGAUGAGUGCUAAGUGUUAGGGGGUUUCCGCCCCUUAGUGCUGCAGCUAACGCAUUAAGCACUCCGCCUGGGGAGUACGACCGCAAGGUUGAAACUCAAAGGAAUUGACGGGGACCCGCACAAGCGGUGGAGCAUGUGGUUUAAUUCGAAGCAACGCGAAGAACCUUACCAAAUCUUGACAUCCUUUGAAAACUCUAGAGAUAGAGCCUUCCCCUUCGGGGGACAAAGUGACAGGUGGUGCAUGGUUGUCGUCAGCUCGUGUCGUGAGAUGUUGGGUUAAGUCCCGCAACGAGCGCAACCCUUAAGCUUAGUUGCCAUCAUUAAGUUGGGCACUCUAGGUUGACUGCCGGUGACAAACCGGAGGAAGGUGGGGAUGACGUCAAAUCAUCAUGCCCCUUAUGAUUUGGGCUACACACGUGCUACAAUGGACAAUACAAAGGGCAGCUAAACCGCGAGGUCAUGCAAAUCCCAUAAAGUUGUUCUCAGUUCGGAUUGUAGUCUGCAACUCGACUACAUGAAGCUGGAAUCGCUAGUAAUCGUAGAUCAGCAUGCUACGGUGAAUACGUUCCCGGGUCU
This 1372-nucleotide ribosomal RNA is filed under the name uncultured bacterium. Its description in RNAcentral is "bacterial SSU rRNA". It matches the Rfam family "Bacterial small subunit ribosomal RNA", at positions 28 to 1381 of the family's 1533-position model. The record is from RNAcentral.